This is a long non-coding RNA of Brassica napus (rape), 2103 nucleotides long. RefSeq lists it as uncharacterized. The record is from RefSeq and is a predicted model, not a curated record. The transcript is spliced from 9 exons. Lineage: Eukaryota; Viridiplantae; Streptophyta; Magnoliopsida; Brassicales; Brassicaceae.
AAUAGUAAUGCAUAUCGAUUUCUGGUAUAUAAAUCUGAAAUAUCAGACAUUCAUGAAAAAACACUACAAGGAAAAUGCGUAUUGAUAGCACAUUGUAAUAGAUUUGUUUUCUAAACUGCUAUUAAAGAUAAAUUUUUCGAAUUUAGUAUACAUUAAUAGCAGUUAAUUAAGGCUAUCGUGAAAAAUUAGUAAGUGGGAAUAAAAAAUCACGCAUACCGCCUCUACGUAGGUGAAAUUGAGACAAAACCGCAAAAUACCAAAAUUUUCCGUCUUUACUAUAACACAUUCUCUACUUAAAAUGUAAAAUUUAGUUUCCACAAAAAAUAGAGUCACCAAAAAAAAACCCUCUCCUCUCGAAAAAUCUAACUGCUCAUCUUCUCCGAUGUAUAUCUCCCUCUCACUUUCUCCAAAUCUCACCUCUCUUCUAAUCUUCUUCAACAAUUCUCACUUCUCCUCUUAUUUUGAAAAUCGUUUUGGAGUAUUGUGUUCUCUGUGUUUUCAAUAAAUCUAGGGUUUCUCAUUCCCUUUCUUUCCUAGGGCCUGAGACACGAGAGACGGAAGAGAAGAGAGAUGAGACGGAACGGAGAUAGAGAGGAGAGAAAGCUCGGGUCGUGUCUUGCUUCGUCUCCGAUAACCAGAGCUUGGGUUGGGUGGGGUCUUGCUUUGUCUUCUCCAUUUUCGCCUCAGCUUCAGAUACGCCGUGUUUGAGCUCCGCCGCUGCUUGUACCUUUUUCAGCAUUCGUCUCGAGAGAAGAAUUUGAGUCGAGCGAUAAGAGAAGGCAGAAGAUGGAGUUGGUUCAGAGACAAGGGAAGAGACAUCCUGCCUCUCGAGCUGGCAAUCUAAGGUACGUUUGUCUCCACUCUCGUGUUCUUCAUACAUAGAAGUGAGCUUGAUGGCGGAUUUGUGGUAUGUGUUUGCAAGAGACAGAGGAGAUGGAGAUGGGAAGAAGAAGAAGAAGAACCGGAGAAAACAGAGGUGGAGUUUCAGAUUCAAAACGAGAGAAGACACAAGAGCAAAGUAUUUGGAUCGACAAGGAAGAGGAAGAUGAGAAUGACAAAGUGGCUGUAGGCGAGGAACUCAGAGGCGUGUGUCUGACAGAAGUUAUAAAUAUACACAAGAUCUUGAUUCUUAUGAGGAAUCUUUGUUGAUUUCUCAAGACAUGUUCGUUCAAUUGCCUUAAAGAAUCAGCUUUAUGCUGUUGUUGGUGCUCUGUUACUAACUACCAUCUUCUUCUUCUCUAGUAAGUAGUGGCCAUCUCAUUCUUAUUUAGAUAUAUUGGUCUUCAAUAGUCUUCUUCUUGCCUUCUUGUUUGCGGUUUAGUAGUGUUUGAUUGUUUUUGCAGUUAAAGAAGUGAAACAUAAAGUACAAGAAGAAGAAGACAAACAUGGAGAUGAUUGUGAACUGGAUCUACUCUACAUUGUGCAUUCAGACAUCUCAUCUCUUCUUCACCAGGAAGAUCCGUCUUUGAUGACCGCAAGGGUCUUUCCAAAUGCUGCUGCAAAUCAAUAGCUUCAGGCUCCUAAAGAAGAUCUUAACCACACAAACCAGUAUGUUAUAGGACUCACACUCUAUGAUUUAGGUUUCUAACUUGCUGCAAAUUCACUAAGUCCUCAUGUCCAAGGGCUAGAUUCUGAGCUUAGUGUUGACUGUGUUCUCUCAUAUGUUAGGAAGUAAGAAUGCUUGCUGCUGGUCGAACUCUUGGUGCGAGACUGCUCGAGCCUAGAUGCAAAUCUAUGCUUGGUUCGUCUCUAUUAGGUGCUCUAAUUGUUUCUCUAUGCGAUUUCAUAUUGGCUUAUGUUGAUGCUGAGAUAUUCACUUUUCCACUGGAAUUCUUUUCCUUGGCCAUAUAUUAGAUGUUCUUGGAACAUCAACUCGGGAGAUUAUUAAGGUGCAUCCCUACGCCGCUUUUUCGAUGAGAUACAUGCUAAGGCCAAGAAGGAAAUGGGAGCUCAAGGUUUUGAUCUACUUCCCAUGUUUUCUAGUCUUUUUUAUAUUUAGUUCUGAUUUUUAUGUUGUGUAAGAUUUGAUGAUAAUGUAGACAUGUUUGUGGUAUUGAUGUAAGUACAUCUUGGUUUUAUUAAUGAAAUAUAAAUUGAAUAUUA